AUGGCCGACUCUCCUCUCAACAACUCCUGGCCGUCCUUCUCCAGGCUGUGGAUGAAGAGGUGGUCCUUCAAGAGAGCGUCAGAGUGUAAGCCUUAUAGUGGACAAGAGCGUGUUCAUCUUCAUGCAACAACAACAACAACAUCAACAACAACAUCCCCCACCUCGCCAUCAUCGCCUGCAUCCAUCACUGAGGACGUCUUCUUUGGUGCAACCAACAAGGAUCAGGACGCAAGCUCAGUGGUGAGCGAGGACGACCUGAGAGGCGUGGAAGUGGGCAGCAGCGCGGAAGACCUCAGCUCUUUUUUGGGAGACUCAGACUACUUCAGGCACCUGAAUGCUGACCUUGCAGGGCCCCUAAAAGACAGCGGCUCCCAGACCACAGCGCCCCCUGUGGUCUGCCGGUCCCCAUCGCCCUCACUGGCGCCCCCUGCUGAGGAGGCACCCGGCGGCACCCUGGUGGUCACCCAGCUGCGUCCCAGCCGCUCCCCCAGCUGUGUGACGGACUCCUCGGGCCCCGGGGUCGGGCUGAGUUUGACAAUUCAUCUGAACGGACUGCUGGGACCCAUGGAAACUACGGAGAACACCAAAACAAAGCAGAACACCAAACAUUUCACCGCACAUGCCGAGGUGGACAGUUUCCCCGGUUUAGCAAGAUCCAUGUCCACGUCACGGCGACACAGCUGGGGGGUCCCGGUGGCCCCCAUCAACCUGGCCAGGAGACUAAGUCUAGACAACAUGGCCAUGGGCAGUGCAGAAGAGUUGCAGUGCCGUCAUCAGAGGCAGAGGACAGACACUUUGUGUGGCCAGGAGGAGACAAGUCUGUGCAGUCCUGCUAAGGCUGCAGGCAAGCAAGUUUACUCUCGCUCAGACAUCCUGGCCAGCGAGGCGUGUUGUCGUGCUGCUCACAUCUCUCACGUCCUGCACUCCUCCACACAGGCGGCCAGGGCUGCAGGAGAAGAGUUCGACCCUGAGGAACACCUUCACUCCACUGAGGGCCAAAGUCACAUGCUGAUGGUACAGAAAGUUCUGCAGGAGCUGAAGUUGUACCACGGAGCCAAGCAGAGAAGCAACAAAACCCACAACAAAGAGAAUGUCACAUGGUACGAGUUCCUGUCCAACGACAGGAACGAGGAAGAGGACGAUCGAGCUGAGAAGGUGGAAAAAGGUACCAAGGUGAAGCGGACGCUGAGCUCGUUGAGGAACAGGAUGACAGGGUCCUUCAGCAAAGAAAAGGGUAAGAACCGAGACAAAGAGCCCCAGCAAAGGGCCAGGGAGAAGGAGGCCCAGGAGACCGAGGGCAGCCACGGCAACGGCCACGUUUUGGCGCUGGGCACUUUCUCCAGCUGUGCCACCUGCUCGCUGUGCGGCAAGACUCUGCAGAAAAAGCACAGCCUGCAAUGCAUGAAUUGUGCUGUGAAUGUUCACAAGAGCUGCAAGUCUCUGCUGGGUGAGUGCACCAGCACCAAGAACAAGAGAGAUUCUUUAUCAAGGACAGGCCUGUCUGGAUCCCCUAAUAUUGCACUGAAAGAGCGGGCCAGAGAGCACGAGCAGUCGGGCACACCCUCGUCACAAACCCAACUGAAUGGGAACCCAACUUUCCCCGGCGCCCCCGGCAUGACCAUCAUUCCUCGGGGACCAAGUAACCAGCCCAGUGCGUCCUGUCCUGCAGCGCCCAACUCAAACCUCAGCAUCCCAGCGACCUGUGUGUUGUCUCUCAGAACUCUCCACGGGGAGAUGGAUGAAACCGACGCCCUUCGCUCCAAGCGCUGCAACGAAGACACCAUUUCCCUCGUCCCCUCCACCACGGAGUCCAUCAUAGUGGAAGAUGCUCACUACGCUGCAGUACGGGCUGAUCUGGAGUCUGAUGCGCAGGACCUGGAAGCAGAGUCCUGGAGUUUGGCUGUUGACCAGCAGUAUGUUAAGAAACACUCCAAAGAGGCCACGAAGAGACAGGAUGUCAUAUAUGAGCUGAUGCAGACGGAAAUGCAUCACGUCCGCACGCUGAAGAUAAUGCUGCGCGUCUACGUCAAAGAGUUGAAGGAGAACCUCCAGCUGGAUUCAAGCAGGCUGGACUGUCUCUUCCCACGCUUGGAGAACCUCCUGGACCUCCACACGCAUUUCUUGUCUCGUCUCAAAGAACGCCGGCGAGACAACAUUGUUUCGCCCGCCGACGCCAACUAUACGGUCGACAGAAUAGCAGACAUACUAAUUGCACAGUUUUCAGGUGAAAUAGGUGAGAAGAUGAAGGAAUGUUACGGGGAUUUCUGUAGUCACCACACGGAGGCAGUGGGCUACUACAAAGAACAGAUGCAAGCAAACAAAAGGUUCCACAGCAUCAUACGGAAAAUCAACAACCUGUCCAUCGUGCGGCGGUUAGGAGUAUCCGAGUGCGUUCUGUUGGUGACACAGCGCAUCACCAAGUACCCAGUGCUGGUGGAGCGGAUUCUGCACAACACUGAAGUUGGUACCGAGGAUCACACGGAGCUGACCCGAGCACUCGGCUUAAUUAAAGACACUAUUGUUCAAGUGGACGCCUUGGUGAAUCUGCACGAGAAGAUGUGUCGCCUUCGUGACAUCCACAACAAGAUGGAGCCGAAGGCGCUGGGGAAAAUCAAAGAUGGCCGGGUGUUUCGCCGGGAGGACUUGGCACAAGGUCGGCGACGGCUACUGCAUGAAGGGACGGUCAACUGGAAAGCUGCUUCUGGCAGGCUCAAAGAUAUUCUUGCUGUUCUCCUCUCAGACGUGUUACUGCUGCUGCAGGAGAAGGAUCAGAGAUACGUGUUUGCUACAGUGGACAACAAGCCGUCGGUCAUCUCGCUUCAGAAGCUGAUUGUGAGAGAGGUGGCCCACGAAGAACGAGCCAUGUUUCUGAUCUGCGCUUCCUCCAACGAGCCGGAGAUGUACGAGAUCCACACGGCCUCCAAGGAGGAGAGAAACACGUGGAUGACACUCAUACGGCAGGCUGUUGAUAGCUGUCCUCAUACCGAGGAGAGGCUGUUCAGUGAGGAGGAAGAGGCUCGAGCUUCCAGGUUUAAAGAAUUUCAAGAACGGUUGAGCCAGAAGGAUGCCGUCAUCGUCCAGGCACUUUCUGAGAAGCUGCAGCUUUUUGCAGACAUGGCAGACACUGUCGCGGGUCUGGAGGACGCUGCUUCUCGCUCCAAACUGCUGUUACGGGGCGAUGCCUCGGAUCUCCAGCAGGGGGAGACAUUGCUGAAAGGAGCCAUCACCGAGGUGGAAAACCUGCAGAAUUUGCUCCAAUCUGGAAUAAGGGAGGAGAUGCAGGAUGAAGAGAGCGGCUCUGGACUGCUUCCUAGAAGAGCAGACACCUUUGGGGGCUACGACAGCAUCCUCACCACGAAUGGCAGUGUCAAGAACAACUUUUCUGGCGAGUCCAGAAACCGAGACCGAAGCCAGCGGGCCAGCUCUGACCCUCAGCUCAAAGAUCUGUGUGGCAGCCGGACUCUGGAGCAGACGGUCAACGAAAGGUGCCACACUCCAACCAGAUGGAACCGGAUCUGGUGCAGCUCGUACCCUGAGGCAGAGUUCUUUGACCGAGUACUAAUGCUUUCUCAAAGGCUCUACAGUCUGCAGGCCAUCAUAUCGCAGCAGGACAGCCACAUGGAGCUGCAGCGUGUCUCGCUGACGGAGCGAGCCUCCCUGCCCGGCCGCCACCGCGGCAACGUGCUCCUGGAGCAGGAGAAGCAGCGGACGCUGGCCCUGCAGAGAGAGGAGCUCGCCAGCUUCCACAAACUGCAGUCCCAGCAUCGGCAAGAGCAGCAGCGCUGGGAGAAGGAGCGUGCCAGGCACCGCCAACAAGUGGAGGCCACGGAGGCCAGGCUGUGGCAGAGGGAGGAGGAGUGCAGGCGCUUGGAGGAGCGUCUGGCAGAAGAGAGGGUGGAGCUGGAGAGGCAAAGGGAGACCUACCAACAGGACCUGGAGAGGCUGAGAGAAUCCACCCGGUCUGUUGAGAAGGAGAAGGAACGCCUGGAACACCAGAAGAAGAUCAAGAGGAAAACCAUCGAGGUGGUUCCUCUGGCAGGCAGCCUAAACGGGGAUCUCCUCUUAUCCUCUGGCCUCAGCGGCUCCACCGGCCUCUCUGAAGCCCCCCUGCCCCAGAAGCCCCUUGUGCGUGGCAGCCUCUCCGUGGCACCGGCUGACUACUCGGAGCGGCCUGAGGUGACGUUGCGGCGGGACGCCAGCUCCUCCACCCUGCCGUUGAAGACCGAGGUGCCGCUCCACCUCUUCAGCACCACCAACCAGCAGCACAAACUGCUGGGGGUGCAGCAGCAGAUCCCCACCAAACUGGCCGCCCUCAGCAGCGGCAAAGGGAAGGGAGUCAAGAGCGGCAAGGCCUCGCAGCGUACUGACAGCACUGCCUCCGUGGACAUGAAGCAGAUUCUUCCUCUGAAGCUGUCAGCUCGCGACGACAACGCCCUCAAAGCCAAGCGCUCCGUCAGCCCCAACCAGCAACCCCUGUUGUCUGCUGCGCCUCCUAUGCCGCCCUCCCUGCAUCAUCACUUAGAUCCAAGCCCUCCAGACAUUUCCGGACCGGAUUCCCAAUCUACCGUUCCUAGCACCGGCCACCCUGCGACUCUCCACAAGCCUCCCGUGCCUCUCGCUCAGCCUCACUCCAUCCUGCCGGCCCAGGUGCAGCCCCAGGGCCUCUGCCCUGACCCCCACAUGCCGCUACCGCCGCCCUACAUCAGCACAGAAGACCUCAACAAGGAAGAUGUCAUCUUCUUCUGAAUUCACAUCAGCGGACGCCGGUCUUAUUUUAUUUACUCUCCUCUAAAGCCCAAACAUUUGGCUUCUUUUCAUGAAUCGAUCCAAAGAUGGCAGCCAUUGUCAGUGAAAGAAGUCCAAUGAUGUGAAGACCAGACUGACGUAGACUUGGCGUGUGCGUCAAGAGGAACACUUGCUUGGUGGUUCAUUUGCACAGUGUCAUUAAACAUGUCGACUACACUUUUUCUCAUUGGUGGAAAAGGAGGCAGUAAAUUUGCUUUUGAUGGCUGGAGCAAUGGUGCCACCAUUAAGAAGAUUGGAGUGGCAGUGACCGAUUCGCUACACGCUAGCCUUGACCUUCCACAUCCGUUCCAGCUGCUCUUUCAGCCCUUGGUACUUCUCAAGUUUCUCGUGUUCCUUCUUCCUGAUGUUGGCGUCAGCUGAGAUUGCCACAUCUAUCUAUCUGCUCUUUGUCCACCACCACCACCAUGUCUGGUUGGUCAGCCAGAAGCUGUUUGUCAGUCUGGAAGCUGAAGUCCCACAGAACCUUGGCCCUGUUGUUCUCAGCCACCUUCUGUGGUAUGGCCCAUUGGGAUUUGGGUACUUCUAUUCCAUACUGGUAGCAGAUGUUCCUGUAUACUAUCCCAGCUAUUUGGUUGUGCCUCUUCAUGUACACUGAUCCAGCUAGCAUCUUACAGCCUGCUACAAUGUGCUGGACUGUCCCAGGGGCUUCUUUGCACAGUCUGCAUCUUGGGUCUGAUCUACUCUGGUAGAUCCUGGCCUCUAUGGCUCUUGUGCUUAUGGC
This is an RNA transcript of Entelurus aequoreus (snake pipefish), 5527 nucleotides long. It is a transcript of the gene named rho guanine nucleotide exchange factor 18-like, with no coding region annotated. NCBI's taxonomy places the organism in Eukaryota, Metazoa, Chordata, Actinopteri, Syngnathiformes, Syngnathidae. The transcript has 33 exons. The record is from RefSeq and is a predicted model, not a curated record.